RNAcentral lists this ribosomal RNA (433 nucleotides) under uncultured bacterium. Its description in RNAcentral is "partial 16S ribosomal RNA". It matches the Rfam family "Bacterial small subunit ribosomal RNA", at positions 29 to 507 of the family's 1533-position model. The record is from RNAcentral.
AACGAACGCUGGCGGCAUGCCUAACACAUGCAAGUCGAACGAGACCUUCGGGUCUAGUGGCGCACGGGUGCGUAACGCGUGGGAACCUGCCCUUAGGUUCGGAAUAACUCCCCGAAAGGUGUGCUAAUACCGGAUAAUGUCUUCGGACCAAAGAUUUAUCGCCAUUGGAUGGGCCCGCGUUGGAUUAGCUAGUUGGUAGGGUAAAAGCCUACCAAGGCGACGAUCCAUAGCUGGUCUGAGAGGAUGAUCAGCUACACUGGGACUGAGACACGGCCCAGACUCCUACGGGAGGCAGCAGUGGGGAAUAUUGUACAAGGGGCGAAAGCCUGAUCCAGCAAUGCCGGGUGAGAGAUGAAGGCCUUAGGGUUGUAAAGCUCUUUUACCCGGGAUGAUAAUGACAGUACCGGGAGAAUAAGCUCCGGCUAACUCCGUG